UACGGAGGGGGGCUAGCGUUGUUCGGAAUUACUGGGCGUAAAGCGUACGUAGGCGGCUUUGUAAGUUAGAGGUGAAAGCCCAGAGCUCAACUCUGGAAUUUGCCUUUAAGACUGCAUCGCUUUGAAUCGUGGAGAGGUUAGUGGAAUUCCGAGUGUAGAGGUGAAAUUUCGUAGAUAUUCGGAAGAACACCAGUGGCGAAGGCGACUAACUGGACACGUAUUGACGCUGAGGUACGAAAGCGUGGGGAGCAAACAGGG
This 258-nucleotide ribosomal RNA is filed under the name uncultured bacterium. Its description in RNAcentral is "partial 16S ribosomal RNA". It matches the Rfam family "Bacterial small subunit ribosomal RNA", at positions 524 to 777 of the family's 1533-position model. The record is from RNAcentral.